Molecule: transfer RNA, 18 nt
Filed under: Asterella africana
Lineage: Eukaryota; Viridiplantae; Streptophyta; Marchantiopsida; Marchantiales; Aytoniaceae
Also listed under: 1 other name
Description: partial transfer RNA-His
Source: RNAcentral
GGCGGACGUAGCCAAGUG